Taeniopygia guttata (zebra finch) is the source of this 10750-nucleotide non-coding RNA. The record is from RefSeq and is a predicted model, not a curated record. Lineage: Eukaryota; Metazoa; Chordata; Aves; Passeriformes; Estrildidae.
GCUCGGGGCCGGCGGUGCUCGGGGCCGGCGGUGCCGGGGCCGGCGGUGCCCGGGCCGGCCGCAGCUCAUCCCGCGGCCCCGCAGGGAUGGAGCAGCACCGGGGGAGCUGUGGGGGACUGCGGUUUAAUCGCCAUUGUCUCAGCUCCAUCAGGGAGGAGAUGGCAACACGCUUCCUCUUCCCAGUCUGGGAGCUGUAGGAGCCUUUCUGCGAGCAUUCGGCACAGACUGACCCGGGUGAAUUCACCCACCCGGCCAUGGGCUCCAUCCCGGCCUGGCACGGGAGAGCACAGCAAAACGCCUUGGCUUUGCUGGCACAUAAACCUGCACAUGGGAUCAUUUACUCCGCUCCAAAUCGAGAUUACGGUGGCCAGGCUGCUUGGCGGAGAUAAACUGAUAAACUGGCUGGUGGGGUUUCCCAUCUCUGUGCCCUAAUCUUACCUACUCAAACCUAUUUUUGCCAAGCAAGGGUUAUUUCACUAAGUGAAGGGACCAUGUCAAGCAUAUUCUGUAAGGUGAACGUGGUGUUGCCUUGUGCAGUACAAAUCAGGGCAUGAAUUAGGAGAAUAUUAUUAUUAUUAGAAUUCUAUUUAUGCUAUUCUUCUAAUCUAAUAUCUUGUUUACAGUGGGAGUUUGAACAGUUCCAGCCCUCAACAAAAGCGAUUAGUAGAGGCACACCAAGGCAAACCACAGGUUUAGACAAAUAAACCAUACUCAAUGUCAACACCUUUCAUGGUAGUUCUGAGGCAGAAAGGAUCUGCUGGCAGCUGUGCCAUGGUUUGUAAGUCUUUCCAAGCUAAGCAUGUCUCCUCUGCCAGGUAACCACCUCCAGCACAGGAAGUGUGAGUGUCACAGCUUGGCUGCAUGUCAGGCUCAGUCUGACUGUUGAUGGCUCUCCGUCCCCUUCACCAGCUGUUCCCUGGUGCCAGCAGUGAGCAAAGGAUGAGGUGGAAACAGUUUUGUGUACUGCUGUGGCAAGACUUGUCCCUCAGUUUCUGUAGUUCCAUUACAGAAUAAGCUCUUCCAAUACAAAUUGCAGAUUUUGUUCUCCAACAGGGGCUCGUUUCCUGAUAGGACAGGUGAGGCUGGGCCAGAAGACUUCUGUAAAGAGCUGCUCAGCUUUUUUGAAAAAGGAGGGCAGAGCUUGAUGCUGGAAAGGAGAGCUCCUGAAAUGCAGAGCCAAGUUCCCUGAGAAAUACUCCCAUUCAUCUCAGUGAGCUAUCACUGUUAAUAUGUUGGUAUAAUCAGUCAUCCAAUUUAGCAGUAUCGCUGGUAAUAAAGUUUCCUAUUGCCUAUGUUAUCUGUUAAUCCAAAAGGAGCAAAGUUUGAGGACACUGCUGAAGAGCCCAGACCUGCACACAGCUGCAUUUCAGCAGCUGAAGUGCCAGCAGUAUCCCAAUAUCCUGCCUUCAUACUGAGAAAUGUUCUGGAACGUGUGAUUUGUACACCAUGACUGGAAGGCUGGCUGCUUUGUGGUUCUGGCAAAAAGCUGGGCUGACUCCUGUAAAAUGAGGUACACACAGAGGUGUUAUCUUGUCUCCAUCUCCUCUCAUUCCCUCUGCUCCUCUUUGACUCUUUCUUCUGCCUUCUCCCAAGCCACUGUCAUUUUCAUUUCCUUCCCUGCUGCCUUGGACAUUUGAUCCUAGACUCUACUUGCAGAUGUGUCACAGAGUUUUUCUCCUCACAGUUUUCAAAGCCUGUUUUUCCACCUUUGUUCUGUGGACACAGAUCUCAAACCAGUGUAACUUCCUGUUGCUAGAGCAUCAAAGAUACACAAAUACAAGAUACAGUAAAAAAAAAAAAAAAACUGUUCAGACUUGUUUACUUUGAAUAAAAAUAACAUUCAUAUCAUGAAGCUUGACUGAGUGGAACCAGGUUAAGGAUGCUCCAACCAUCAUGACAGUGGUGAUGAAACAGAGAUUUUUUUACUAGAAGUCAGUGUCUAUUAAGGAGAACACUAAAUUACUCAGCACAGGUAUUGUUAAAGCAGUCCUGACCAAUAACAUAUUUUUAAUACCAGUGACUCAGAACUCAUCUCUGUAAUUGUUUUUGAUGAUAAAAUGAUUCAGCAUGCCCUAAAAACAUGGCAAUAAAAGAAACCCCUUAUUACAGACCAAGGAACCAUUAAGUCUAAAUCCUAAAAAUUGGCAUUCAGCAUACAAGAUUAAGGAAGCAAAAACCUUGUUAGUUUGGUUACUCUUAUUUACAAAAUAAGAGAAAACAGAACCUUCAAAUACCUUAAGUAGUUUUGAUUAAAAACAUUCUUAAGACGAGAAAUAUGUCAUUGUGCACUCAGCCAGAAAUGCAUUUUAAUAAAUGAGUCAGGGUUACAAGAAGGAUGAAAAACUUUUCUUACUGAUUGCAUCCUUUCUGUGGGGCCCAGUCAUGUAGUGUCACUGGAAGGAGGAACAUGCUGAAGAUGAACAGCCAAGGGCUGAUUAAUAAGACAUUUAACCUAUUAUUUUUUUCAUGGGACGAAGAGCCUGUAGUUCUGUAAGGUAUCUGUAAAAUGAGUGUCCAAAAUGAACCAGGCAAUCCCAGUCUGAUACCCAACAGACACCAAUUUGGUACCUCAUAGGUGUUUGCAUAGCAAAUCUGUUACUAAUUACAAUUCUUGACACUCAGGAGUACAUGGGCUGUGUUGUUUGCCCUUAUUAAUUUUAGGCCAGAUUGUACCCAUGUACAAUCUCCUGCCCGCCCUUCACAAGCACUCUCUACUUGUCUAGAGGUGGAAGGGUUUGUACUCCUGGACUAUUGAUGAGCAUUAAACUGUCACAUAAAGACAUAAUGAAUUCUGAGAGAGACAUUAAAUAUCUGUAUAGAAUUAUGCAAAGAAGGAUGCAGAGGUAGGGUCUGUAGUUUUCUCUGCAUUGCAAAAUUGUCCCAGGUUUUACAAAUCCAUCAAAUGAGUAGGCAGGCUCUGAAAGCUUCCUUUUCCCCACCCAAGAUGAAAAAUGUAAUUGCCACUGGGAUGCCAGAGGUGAAUGAGAUUCUGUCAGGAGGUUAUAUUGAUAAAAGUAAACAUCCUGCACAAAAGCUGAGUUUCUUUUGGCCUCUUGAUGAGCUCUUAUUACAAGCCUGCACAAUAGCCAGUCCCCUGAUUUGUUAAACAGAUAACAGAGAAGCAGUUCCUCAGUUGCCAAAAUGGAUGUAUUAGUGACAAGACACGGCUCAUGCUCCCAGCUACUCACUUUUGGCAAUGGUGAUGGAGCGGCUUCAGAGGCAGGAGAGCAGGACACCAUGGCUCAGGAGGCAAUUAAAUGUGCUGGGGAGGGAGCAGAGCAGCACAGCCCUAGUGAGGCACAGGAAAUGGGCUUGGCAGGUAAAACUCCACUCCCACUCUACACUGGGGAGUAAAUCAAGCAUUUGCGGUAAAUAAGGGGGAGAAAAGUACCCUUCUGCUUUAUUUUGACUUCAUAAUAAACAAAAUAUGAGGAUUUAGCCUUCCUGUCUUAGGAGUGUGCAUGAUAAUGGAGGAAGGUGGUGGUUUCAUUAAGGUUUGAUUUAGAAGCUUUAGUGGUAAAGCUCUUUCCUUUUCUUGAAUUUAGAGAAACAGGGUUUGGGCUUUGUUAGCAUGUUCAAGGACAUGUGGCAGCAGAACUACCCUGUGAAAAGUUUAUGCUUUGUGUCCUGCAGACAGCGUGGAUGCAGCUUUUUAUUUCCCUUGCUACGAGCUGACCCAGAUUUCUGCUUUGACAGUCUUUUUGAGCACAGUGAAAGAGAGGCAUCGCUUCUGGAAAUGCAUGUCAAUGGUCUUGUGCAAUGAACAUCUCUCCCUCCCUCAGCCUUCCCCCAGUCUAAUUAAUAAGGUCAGCCCACUGAAGGCAGGCUUAUAAAUAGCUUUCCAAACACUAAUGGAAUUAGUUCUGGCCAGGACAACUUUUCCAGGGUGACACAGGUAUCGAAGAAGGGCUUGUUCCUUGGCAUAGACAGCCACUUAGAGCAGGAAAUGUUGAAAUGUAAACAUUUCCCAGCUCUUGCUGCCAGUGCUAAAGCUGAAAUGGGAUUACAGCAGUGCUGCUCACAUCGUAGAAAGACUUCCUGCAAGUGAAACAAGGGAUUUUAGAGGGAUGGGCCUUGUAUUAUAUUACAUUAGUCUGGAUAGUGAAAUGUCAAAUUCUGCUGAAGGUUUCUCGUUUGUCACUAUUUCUGAGGAAAGUGUAUUUUUUAUGUCCCACAAACCCACUAGAUUUUGUGAGGAUAAUAAACAGUUACCAUGGGGAAUAAAAUCAAAGUACUUCCAGUCGAUAGGAAUCUUUACUAUGACAGCAAUUAAUGGGAAAGGAAUAGCACAGCUAUAAACUCUCAAAAGAGAGUGAUGAUUGAAAAUUGACUAUUUAAAUCCUCAGUGAAUGGAGCCAUUGAACCUCUUAAAAAGCAAUGCCAAAUUAUUAACAUUUAAAAUCUGGCAUUAGACUGGAAUUUUAUAAUGAAAAUAAAACCUAAAUGCAUCAUAGAAAAUGUAAGCUCUGAUUGUUUAAAAAACUUGAACCAAAAUGUAAAGAGAAUGUAUCUGAUUCAGGAACUUCAAAUCAAUAAGCAUGAAGUUCCUGAAAAUAUGAGACAAACAUGAAAUUAUAAUAUGAUUAUCUAUGUAACUAAUGAAGUUUAAUUACAGUAGAAUAAUGGAGAAGCAUUUAUUUCACAGUCUCUUCUAUUUGUUCUAUCUUCACGGUCUGUUCUUCUCUUUGGCCUGUGUAUUGCAAUAGUCCUGCCAUGUAUUGCAUUUCCAGUAAACAAAAGGACAUUUCAAAGAUUUCAAAAUGCUUAUUGGAAAAAAUGGAUGAAGGUCAAAUUUUGUAUUAAUUCAUCAUUUCAAUCAAAUUCCUUGCUAUUGCAUGUUUUGAAUAUAACCUUCUUCUUAAAUGAAGGAGCUGACACGAGGGCAGGAGGUACUUCAUGUAACUCAGAAAAGAUCACUUCUUUAGAGGAGAGAAAAGCAGCACUUUUCAGUUUCUGAAAUGGCCUUGGACCAGCUGCACAAAUUCUGAGUCAUCAGAUGAAUCAAGUCUGUUAAGGACUGCAGAGAACUUUUGCUUCAAAAAAUGCAGAAGCAUCCUGCUUUCAGAUAUUGAUUCUGUAGUGCUUCCUUUGGGAAGCUUUAGUCAUAAAGGUGCCAGAUUUCAAGGCGUUUUUAGAAAUAAAAAAUGUGAGGGGUUUGGCUUUUAGUAAUUGUACCAUAAAAAAGAUGGUAGCCCAUAGCCCUUGGAACAUCUAUCAGUUUCUCUAGCAGAAAUCAGUAUGGAAUUUUGGCUGACAGGCAAAGAGUGAGUUAUUAAAAGUAAAAUUCACUCAUAAAGAGAGUUUUAUAUGAAAGGCCAAAUCAGGACAACCUGACUCAGGAGCUAAGCAGCUGCCAUUGCCUUCAGCUUCAGACUGGACAACAUCUGAAAAAUCACAGUUCAGUUUCUUAAAUCAAAGGGAUAAGGGUCAUGAGGAUCUGUGUUGUAGGAAGUCUACAAGAGAGAAUAAAGAAUUACUCUACUGUAUUAUAACAGUUUAUCCUCUCAGUGUCAUUAGAGCCUAAGAGAUGAGGUCUCUCACCCCAUCCUCCAGUUGUCUCAAUAUUGUGGCCUGCAAAGAAAAGCCCUAGCUGUACACCAUCCUUUUGGGAAAAAAAAGACCAUUUCCCCCUUUUCUCAGAUGUAGGAUUUUAGCACCCAAAAGUGAAGGCUUUUGAAGAUUUUUUUUUUAGCAAUGUGUUACCCAUGCAGAACUAAAUUAUUUCUCUUUGGACACAAUAUUUUAAUAUAUACCCAAAUUCUUCUCUUUUCAGAAGUAAAUGAAAAAAACUUCACCCUUGUACCAAAGCCAAAAUAAAGCAGUUCUAUGUUUGAAUCCCGGUCCACAGUGGACCAUCUUUAACUGAUGUUUAUAGCAUCAACACACAAAAUCUUUUCCCCUUCUUUCUUCUCCCCAUCACUGGGGUGAAGAAAGGUGAGGAAAAUGACCUGGGAAUGUGUCUGCCAUCCAGUCUUAAUGUGCCAGUCACUCUUAAUUCCUCUCUGACAUCACAAUCAAUGAAGGGAAAUAAGCUGUUACAUAACGGGGCUGACACAAAAUCCAUUUAAGUUAACGGAAAGACGCUCAUUGUUUCCUAUCAGCCCCGGGUCAGGCCAGAGUGAACAGAGUGGGUGGAAUUUAGCCUGUCAUUUUUCAUCUCAGAGGAAAUUAUUCCUACAUCCCUUUUGGACUGCUUAGAGAUUUUAAACAUAUUUAGCAGAAGAAAACAGAUUGAUUUCUUGUCAGUUGUUAAAUGGUUGAAAUUUUACUCUGGUUGGAUCGUCUCUCAGUUUAAAAUGAUACUUAGUUUUCUCAAUAGUUAAAAAAAAAAACAAAAAACCAAAAAAACCACAAAUAUAGAAGGAGAGAAAAAUCAAGGUGGGUGUAAGUCAGUGAAACUGAAGAGGUACCUGACUGCGCUGUGCAGGUCAUGAAGCAUCAUCUGCACAGGAUCUCAGCCUCGCUGGCUGCACAGGGCCUGUGAACUCACCCUGCCCUUCCUGCCAGCGAGCUGACAGCCUCUCAGUGUUAUUUAUUUUCGGUUUCCUACAUACAUUUGGGGAGGGAGAAAACAUCUGUAUUCCAAUGCACAGUGUUGUCUCAGGUCUUCUAGGUUUUGUAAACAGAUUUAAUAAAAUAUGAGUCAAUUUUUCUCUAUUGCUCCAAAUGUUUACAAAUAUCAUUCAGAAGCAAAAUGAACCUGUUCUUUAAUAUAGCCCAACAAACAUCAGAUGCACUGUCCCUACUGUGUCUCCCACUCUGAAUAAUGCUUGGGAACAGGGAGCAGAGUGCCCGGCAGGGACAAGAGACUCUGAGUGAUUGUCUAACUUGCAGUUCCCCUGGUAAGUUUAGAGACUGUUUCUGCCGUGUUUCUGCAGAAAUAACUUCUGUUAUUUAGGGACAAAAGUCAGAAUGUUCUGUUUCUUGGUUAUGGUGUGUUACAAAGAGUAAAGGGAGUUUCACCAUGUCCCUUCUGAACAGCAGGAAACUCUCGGGAUAUAUCAUUUAGUUGCUGAUGGCCAAGCCAAGUUGCUGAGAGGUCAGAGGACUUGCAAGAAAUAGAGACAUCAAGAAGUUUAAUUCCAGUGCAAAUUUAUCUACUCUGCUCCAAACAGUGAUUGCAAAAUAAGUGUUACUGCUGCUGGCAAGCUUUGUGAGGCCUUACGUCCACCAUCCACUUAGUUCUGUCUGUCCUUGAGUUCGAGUUAUAAAUUGUGUUAUCUUUGAUGGAAGGGAUGAGUUUUCAGACAGACUCUGACCUGACUUCUCUUUCUGCUGUGGUGGAUGAAAGUCUACAGCAUUCCAGUGAUAUUACUGAGGGAUUGGACUCACACAAAUGAGACUCUGACCCCUCACAUAAUUGCUGGAAGGACUAAAGGGGGAAAAACCUUUGAUAGUUGAGAAGUUUUUAGGAGCCAUUUGGAAAGCAAUUGGGUAAACAACAAUACAGAGGGGGCACAGGAGUCCCUCAACUUGUUUUUAAAAUCCCCCAGACAGCAGAAUCCUGUCCUCCAGAUUCCUGGGUCUUGAGGCUCAGUAGCAAUAUUUAUAAGGAGAGGCUGGUUGAAGAAAAUCAAGAAAUAAACAGACAAUGCCCCUAACGAAGAGCUGAAAUAGAGAUUUUUGUAGGCACAGAUUAUGUCUUUCCAGAAACUGUUCCUUCCCUGGGGCUGUCACAUCUGAGCUGCCUCUGGCUGCCCACAGAGGGGAGUGGGGAUGACCCUCGCCAGGGCCUAACCUUGCUCUGCUGCACGCGGCGUCACAGCCUCUUAUCUGCUGCUUGUGGGUGCUAAAUUGCAAGGCCACGUUUUUGGGAACAGAACCCGAGCCUUGGAGGAAGGCCAUGCUUUCCAAGUGUGUUUCCUCAGGCGCUCCCCCAGCGCUGGGGCCGCGGUGCUGGCAGGGGAUCAGAGCCCCGGAGUUCCUGCGCUGUGCUCCGGCUGCUCCUCCGGCUGCGGUCACAGCACUCCCCUCCUCUCUGGAUGGCUUCAGCAGGGUCAGUUUUAUAAACUGCAGGGCAAGGUACAGCCCUGGGGUGAGAGUGGGGCUGGGCAGGGCACAGGGCUGCUCGUGCCCCACACAAACCACCGUGGUGGCAUCUGCCCUCGGCCGACCCCGCUGGAGGCUGUGCCCUGUCCUGCUCCCACCGACUGCCCACGGCUCAUUUCAAACAGCCUCACAUCUGAUAGAAACAGGAACGGUGGCUUCUGAACCGCCUCCCAUUCUUUGGAACUUUACAGGAGUCUUGUAAUAGCAUUUUACUUAAAUUCUAGAAGAAGACAACCCCAAAACUAUUAGCAACCUGGCAGUAGAAAAACCUCUGUGGAGGUUUAGUCAAAAUGACAAAAGUCUCUAUCCAAAAUUUAUAAAGGCAUUUUCAGUUUUUCAGUGGAAGUCCAAAUUCCCAUGUUUUGUCAGUAGAGCUGUACUGGGUACAUCUGCACUAGCAUUGACCAUUUAAAAGCCCCUUAGUGCCCUUAGAGACAAAAAGGAGAAUCCUUCCUUUCAGGAAAGGUGCCCCUUAGCAGAGCAGAGGAGAUACUCCAGAGGAAUUAACCUCUUCCCUUUUGUUCUUGAGUUUUGAGGGAGGCAAAGGCUCAAUUUUUGGAUGGUGACAUUAAUCCCACACAAACUGAGCAAUAGGCUGUGCCCCUGCUUGCAACUCCUGCAACAUGGAAGGUUAAAAUAAAUGGUUGUUAAACUCCAGGCUGGAUAGUGCAUGACACAUUAGUGCUGCUUUUAGUCAUCAAUAUAUUCCUAUUUAAAGAUGACUGAGACUUUUAAGUCUGAUGAUUAUUCAUAUUAAAAGUGUUUCUUUUCAUUUGAGAUUUUAUGCUGUCAUGGAGACAUCUCCAUAAUUAAAAGUGUGCUUGACUCUUUCUGUCUCCAGUUAAAUAGACAUUAAUGGGAACCUACCAAAAACAACUGCCAGAAAUAUUCCUGCACUUUAAUUUAAAAAUAUUAAUAUCAAAUUACAGUGAUGAUAAAAGUCCAAUAUGAGAUCACUAAAGGGAAUGAAGGCUAAAUGGUUGUUCAAUUAUCCAAAGUAGUUUGUUCAAACUGCUCUUUUUCUCACAGUUUUUCUGUAGUCACAGCAGAGACCUAUUCUCCACUGCAUGAGGAGGGGUUUAAAAUUAAAUAUUUUUAAGCACAAAACCUCUCCACUUAUAAAAGAUUAGUACUGAAGUUGCAAAAUCAAAGACCUUAAUAUUAGGGAGCACCAAAAUUCAAGCCAAGUCUGUCUUAGCCUGUCUCUGUCAAAUAUUGCACACUAUUUAAUGCCAUAAUGAAACAGUAUUUUUCCUGUGGGAAAAAAUCGCACAACUGAAUGGACUAUGUUCACUUUGGGAGUAGCUACUCAAUAUUUCAUUUCUCAAUAUGUGGCAUAAGGUUUAAUCCAAGCUGGGAGGGAGAGAUCUUACACACUUCAGUCUUGAUAAUCAGAUCUGAUCCUUAGUCAUUUACAGAGCAGCCCUAAUCUAACCUGGGUACUGAAUCCACAUGCUAAAAUUUUCCUGUGAUUUUUUUUGUCUUUAGAAUUUUCUUUCCCUACAGUAAGAACAAAUCACCUGCUGCAGUGCCUGCAGGAGGGAACUGCCUCACUGAGUGAACAACCAUGGCUUGAUCCUGCUUUCCCAGCGAGCAGAUGGAUGCUUGGCAUUACCUGAGGCAUAGAUGGUAUUGUACCACUGACUGGAGAUCCCAAAGGUGCUCUUUGUACACUUCCCAUGCCAAAGCUCUUCCCUGUGCAGGAGCAUUUCCAUCCCUGUGCAGGAGGAUUUCCAUCCUUGCAGCAUUGCUCUGUCAUGACUUUGCCUCUGUUCCAGGGCUGAGCUACACCUUACACAACCUGCAGACCAAGCUGGAGGCCCAUAACGCAACCAAAAUUGGAUCAAUUCUUUUGUGACAAGUGAUUAAUGUGGCUGCCUCCAAAAGCAGUCCUGCCCUCAAGACUGAACAUGGCCUGGCAGGAGUGACCCAGCAGUUCUGACUGGCUUGGAGGGCAGAUCCUCAGCCUCUCUUGGGAGCUGUGACUCCAGUGCAGCCAGGGCUGCUCUCUGGACAUUUAUUCCAGCUGAUUAGCUGUACAGCUUUACGUCCCAAAUCCUGCUUUUUAGCCUCAAAUGGGAAAACACAAGCCAAGCAGCUCAGAGUCUCUGCUUUGGUCACAAUUUACCCACUGCAGCAAGGGCUUGCUGGAGGAGGGUUGGAGAACAUCAUGAAGAUGUGUCUGCUCCAGCUGGAAAUUUCUGCACAGUUCCCAGCUUGGAGGGGAAUGGGACAAGGAGGUGGCAAAGCUGCUCGUAUUUGUUGUCAAAAAUGGGAAUGCUAGCAGGGGCCACAGCCUGAGCUAAGCCUGUGGGAAUGUGGGCAGCCACUCUGCAUGCCUGCCCAGGGAGCUGUGCCAGCUCACCUCCACCCUGACCUCACACAGCCCCUGGUAUUCCAGCUCUGAGUCCAGCUCUGAGCAGCAGCUUUGUCCUCAGCGCAGGAGAAGGGUUUGUUUUGAUGGCAGAGAAAGGUUUGUUUUGAUGGCAGGAUGAUUAAUGUGCCUCAGCUCCAUAGCUGUAAAAUCCCUGGGGAGACAGGGCAUGUCUAAUUUGUACUGUGCCACAGCCAGGUGAGCACAGCACCAGGUCCUUACUCGGGCAUGACCAUGCUCAGGCUCAGUAUUUACCUGACUGCAAAAACUACAGCUGCUUUCCUCAUUUUAUAGUGGCAAAGCUGGUAUCCACUAACCAUUCCACCC